RNA transcript from Brachypodium distachyon (stiff brome), 1479 nucleotides. It is a transcript of the gene named TATA-binding protein 2, with no coding region annotated. Lineage: Eukaryota; Viridiplantae; Streptophyta; Magnoliopsida; Poales; Poaceae. The transcript has 8 exons. The record is from RefSeq and is a predicted model, not a curated record.
CAACCGCCUACUUCCCGCGCCCGUGUCUCGCUGGCGACCAAACCCUAGACAAGCCUCCGAUUCCUCCUCUCCCGAUCUCUAUAAAAGACCACCGAUUUCGAAUUCCCUUCCCGCGGAAUCCGCCCUCCUCCGGGCGCGCCCGAACCCGGGCUCCCGCGCGCGGGGCUGGGGCUUGGGGGCGGAGGUCUGGUGGAUCGGCGAGGGGGUGGAAUAUAUGGCGGAGGCGGCGGCGGCGUUGGAGGGGAGCCAGCCGGUGGACCUGUCCCAGCACCCCUCCGGCAUCGUCCCCAUGCUCCAGAAUAUCGUGUCCACGGUCAACUUGGACUGUAAACUGGACCUGAAAGCAAUAGCUCUUCAAGCGCGCAAUGCAGAAUAUAACCCCAAGCGUUUCGCUGCAGUUAUCAUGAGGAUAAGAGAACCAAAAACCACCGCAUUGAUAUUUGCAUCAGGAAAAAUGGUUUGCACUGGAGCAAAAAGUGAACAGCAGUCUAAACUUGCAGCUAGAAAGUAUGCUCGCAUCAUCCAGAAGCUUGGCUUUCCUGCAAAAUUCAAGGACCCAAAGAGGAAGAUAAAGAUUACAAUCAAGUCCUUCGCCACCGUCCUUGCGCUGAGAAAUCCGAGCAUGGCCACCCGCAUCGUCACCGGGGACGACACCACUUGGGACGAGGCAGGCGUGAGAGGCCAUACCGGGGCCAAAGAUCCUCCCUUUUGGCAUGUCAGCCGGGAGGAAGAGAAAGCCGAGGCGCGAAACAGUAGUCAGCACCAGCUUGUGGAGCAGCCGCUCGAACGGCCAAUGGAUACAGCGGCUAGAUGGCAACAGCCAUGUUGGCACCGCUGGGGAUGAGCUCCGAGGAAGAAACGCAGACGCAGCUUCACCAUCUUCCCAUGGAGCUUCGGAUCCAGGCAAAUCAGCCCUUCUACCGCCACCAUGACGGCCAGGACGAGCCAAAGAACUGCAAAACGAAGCACCAUCGAGCUUAUUGACGAAGCCAUCGCCAGAUCCGAAGCUUUUCUUCGUCCUCCACCAUGAAGAACGGAUGGAAAAGAUGGCUGGCCUCCUCGUGCCACUGCUCGCGAGCAGCAGAGAAAAGCUUCUUGAUAACUGCACUAAGCCAAACGCCCCUAAGGCAGCCCUAGACCUAGCCCUACACCAAAUCCUACAACUACGACGGACGCCAGCGGCCCGGCCUCCUCUCCCAUCCCCACUCCAGCCGGCGAGGCCGACGGAGGGAAAGAGGAGAGGAGCCGGGGCGGAGAGGAGCCGAGCGGUUCUCAAGGGGGAAGAGAAGGGGAGAGAAAGAAAGGGAGAGUCCUCUUAUGGUUACAGUGGAGUUAGGACUUCAAGAUCCAGAAUAUUGUUGGGUCUUGUGAUGUCAAAUUCCCUAUAAGGCUUGAGGGCCUUGCAUAUUCUCACGGUGCUUUCUCGAGUUAUGAGCCAGAGCUAUUCCCAGGCCUGAUUUAUCGGAUGAGGCAACCAAA